UACAUUAAAACCCCAGCCCCAUAACCUAACAGUUGUCAUUUCGAUCUUCGCCGCCUUGGACAUCUGAUCGUACCAGUAUUCAGUGUUGAUCAGGCAGCUCAAUCAUGGCCACGCCCGGGGACUUCUUCCCACCUACAGGGGCAGGGCUAGCGCCGCCCUUGCUGACCGCAGCUUCAAUAUUGUCUGGUGUGAUUACUUUCAGCUUAGGAUUUAUUCUGUUGAGUAUAUCUGAUCUCACCGAAGGGCCAAGAGGGCCAACAGGAACUUUGGGAAUCACCGGUUCUACUGGAGUUGCACCAACAGGAUUAACUGGUCUAACUGGUACAGCUAAUACAGUAACUGGUUUAACUGGAAUGACAGGGCCAACUGGAGAUACAGGACCAGGUAUAACCGGUGCAACUGGUACAGCGAAUACAGAUAUCUGGUGCAACUGGACCUACAGGAUUUAAUGGAGAUGCAGGACCAACAGUUACCGGCGCAUCUGGCACAACUGGUGCUACCGGUGCAACCGGCGCAACUGGUGUUGCAGCCUCGGGAUAAGAGUGCGAAAAAAUACCUUGUGCCAGGUAGACGGACAAAUAAAAGAUUUUCCCCCA
Pecten maximus is the source of this 596-nucleotide long non-coding RNA. RefSeq lists it as uncharacterized. The transcript has 3 exons. NCBI's taxonomy places the organism in Eukaryota, Metazoa, Mollusca, Bivalvia, Pectinida, Pectinidae. The record is from RefSeq and is a predicted model, not a curated record.